GUACUAGCUGUCAGCUGCUGGAGACCUUGCUUUCUGUUUCACUGGGAAACAGAAGCAAUCAGAAGGAAACUUCCUCAGACUCCACCUCUCCCUUCACUCCCGCCUGUAUCCGUGCCUGUUACCUGGACGCCUUGUGGAACUUGAAUUCUACGCCCUCCACUGGGACACUGCCCUUCAUCCUCUCUCACCUCCUCCAGGACAACAAAUGUUGUAGUCCUCAUCAUCAGCAGAGACUUUGUGCCAUCCUCUGCUAUAUUAUCCUGAAGAGUGCCUGGCUCAUGGCUGCGGAUUUUAUUGAGAGAACGGAGACUGCUGGUGAACUCUCAAGAGGGUUAAUUGGAGUUUUAUCAAGCCAGAUUUCAUGGUGUCUGCUUAAUGUUAAUCUCUCCAAGCUUCCCACCAGACUGCAAAGGCUGAGCUGCAGUGUUCUGAAUAGCAGUCCAGCUAUGAGGGGAGGUGCCCGUGGCAGGCCUCAGCUGACCCUGGAGAGGCCAUUAAGACCUGGCUGUCGCCUCCACAGCUGCUCGGAGGCAGAGAAAGGUGGCUUUGUAAGAAGAAAAGAGAUCAUUCUUUUUCCACCAUGUGAGGACCCAGCAAGAGGGUGGCUGUCUGCAAACCCAGGGAGAGAGCCCUCACCAGGAAUCUGCUGGCACCUUAAUCUUGGACUUCCCAGCCUCCACAACUGUGAGGAAUAAAUGUAUGUUGUUUAAGCCA
RNAcentral lists this long non-coding RNA (714 nucleotides) under Homo sapiens (human). RNAcentral's name for it is "myelodysplastic syndrome 2 translocation associated, transcript variant 4 (MDS2)". Lineage: Eukaryota; Metazoa; Chordata; Mammalia; Primates; Hominidae. The record is from RNAcentral.